Small nuclear RNA from Papio anubis (olive baboon), 109 nucleotides. NCBI's taxonomy places the organism in Eukaryota, Metazoa, Chordata, Mammalia, Primates, Cercopithecidae. The record is from Ensembl.
GUGCUCGCUUCAGCAGCACGUAUACUAAAAUUGGAAUGAUACAGAGAAAAUUAGCAUGGCCCCUUGUGCAAAGAUGACAUUUUUUUUUUUUUUUUUUUUUGGUAUUUUU